GACGGAGGGGGCUAGCGUUGUUCGGAAUGACUGGGCGUAAAGGGCGCGUAGGCGGUUUUUUAAGUGAGGCGUGAAAGCCCUGGGCUUAACCCAGGAGGUGCGUUUCAUACUGGAAGGCUUGAGUGCGAGAGAGGAAGGUGGAAUUCCUAGUGUAGAGGUGAAAUUCGUAGAUAUUAGGAAGAAUACCAGUGGCGAAGGCGACUUUCUGGCUCGUAACUGACGCUGAGGCGCGAAAGCGUGGGGAGCAAACAGG
This 253-nucleotide ribosomal RNA is filed under the name uncultured bacterium. RNAcentral's name for it is "partial 16S ribosomal RNA". It matches the Rfam family "Bacterial small subunit ribosomal RNA", at positions 524 to 776 of the family's 1533-position model. The record is from RNAcentral.